This 733-nucleotide ribosomal RNA is filed under the name Streptococcus parauberis. RNAcentral's name for it is "bacterial SSU rRNA". It matches the Rfam family "Bacterial small subunit ribosomal RNA", at positions 24 to 740 of the family's 1533-position model. The record is from RNAcentral. Lineage: Bacteria; Bacillati; Bacillota; Bacilli; Lactobacillales; Streptococcaceae.
UCAGGACGAACGCUGGCGGCGUGCCUAAUACAUGCAAGUAGAACGCUGAAGACUGGUGCUUGCACUAGUCAGAUGAGUUGCGAACGGGUGAGUAACGCGUAGGUAACCUACCUCAUAGCGGGGGAUAACUAUUGGAAACGAUAGCUAAUACCGCAUGACAAUUAAGUACUCAUGUACUAAAUUUAAAAGGAGCAAUUGCUUCACUAUGAGAUGGACCUGCGUUGUAUUAGCUAGUUGGUGAGGUAACGGCUCACCAAGGCCACGAUACAUAGCCGACCUGAGAGGGUGAUCGGCCACACUGGGACUGAGACACGGCCCAGACUCCUACGGGAGGCAGCAGUAGGGAAUCUUCGGCAAUGGGGGCAACCCUGACCGAGCAACGCCGCGUGAGUGAAGAAGGUUUUCGGAUCGUAAAGCUCUGUUGUUAGAGAAGAACGGUAAUGGGAGUGGAAAAUCCAUUACGUGACGGUAACUAACCAGAAAGGGACGGCUAACUACGUGCCAGCAGCCGCGGUAAUACGUAGGUCUCGAGCGUUGUCCGGAUUUAUUGGGCGUAAAGCGAGCGCAGGCGGUUAUUUAAGUCUGAAGUUAAAGGCCGUGGCUCAACCAUGGUUCGCUUUGGAAACUGGAUAACUUGAGUGCAGAAGGGGAGAGUGGAAUUCCAUGUGUAGCGGUGAAAUGCGUAGAUAUAUGGAGGAACACCGGUGGCGAAAGCGGCUCUCUGGUCUGUAAC